This 490-nucleotide ribosomal RNA is filed under the name uncultured bacterium. Its description in RNAcentral is "bacterial SSU rRNA". It matches the Rfam family "Bacterial small subunit ribosomal RNA", at positions 28 to 511 of the family's 1533-position model. The record is from RNAcentral.
GAUGAACGCUAGCUACAGGCUUAACACAUGCAAGUCGAGGGGGCAGCGCAGUGUAGCAAUACAUGGGCGGCGACCGGCGCACGGGUGCGUAACGCGUAUCCAACCUUCCCGUUACUCAGGGAUAGCCUUCCGAAAGGGAGAUUAAUACCUGAUGGUGUUCAAAUUCCGCAUGUUAUUUGAACUAAAGAUUUAUCGGUAACGGAUGGGGAUGCGUGACAUUAGGUAGAUGGCGGGGUAACGGCCCACCAUGCCUACGAUGUCUAGGGGUUCUGAGAGGAAGGUCCCCCACACUGGAACUGAGACACGGUCCAGACUCCUACGGGAGGCAGCAGUGAGGAAUAUUGGUCAAUGGUCUGACGACUGAACCAGCCAUGCCGCGUGAAGGUCACGGCCCUAUGGGUCUUAAACUUCUUUUGCGAGGGAGCAAUAAGGCGCACGUGUGCGUCGAUGAGAGUACCUCGCGAAUAAGCAUCGGCUAACUCCGUGCCAG